This 377-nucleotide ribosomal RNA is filed under the name Carinartemis striatus. Its description in RNAcentral is "partial large subunit ribosomal RNA". It matches the Rfam family "Bacterial large subunit ribosomal RNA", at positions 1832 to 2597 of the family's 2925-position model. Lineage: Eukaryota; Metazoa; Mollusca; Gastropoda; Stylommatophora; Streptaxidae. The record is from RNAcentral.
AGCUAUAUGUUUUUAUAUUUAGUUUUUUCUGCCAUGUGAUAUUUUAACGGCCGCAGUACUUUGACUGUGCUAAGGUAGCAUAAUCAAUUGACUUUUAAUUGAAGUCUAGAAUGAAUGGAAAAUUGAGGAAUUUCUGUCUCUUAAAAAAUAUAUUAAAAUUACUACUAAGGUGAAAAUACCUUAAACAAGAAAAAAGACGAGAAGACCCUUAGAGUUUUUUUGUUGGGGUGACAUUUAAGCAAACCUUAUAUUUUGAAAAAAAAAACUACCUUAGGGAUAACAGCAUAAUUUUUUAAAAAGAUUGUGACCUCGAUGUUGGACUAGGAAAUUUAUAAUUAGAAAUUAAAAUUUAAGGUUCUGUUCGAACUUUCACUCCU